RNAcentral lists this ribosomal RNA (459 nucleotides) under uncultured bacterium. Its description in RNAcentral is "partial 16S ribosomal RNA". It matches the Rfam family "Bacterial small subunit ribosomal RNA", at positions 338 to 795 of the family's 1533-position model. The record is from RNAcentral.
CCUACGGGAGGCAGCAGUGAGGAAUAUUGGUCAAUGGUCGGGAGACUGAACCAGCCAAGCCGCGUGAGGGAUGAAGGUACAGAGUAUCGUAAACCUCUUUUGUCAGGGAACAAAGGCGGGGACGUGUCCCCGGAUGAGUGUACCUGAAGAAAAAGCAUCGGCUAACUCCGUGCCAGCAGCCGCGGUAAUACGGAGGAUGCGAGCGUUAUCCGGAUUUAUUGGGUUUAAAGGGUGCGCAGGCGGUCUGUUAAGUCAGCGGUCAAAGCCCGGGGCUCAACCCCGGCCCGCCGUUGAAACUGGCAGUCGCGAGUUGGAGAGAAGUAGGCGGAAUGCGCGGUGUAGCGGUGAAAUGCAUAGAUAUCGCGCAGAACUCCGAUUGCGAAGGCAGCAUGCCGGCUCCACACUGACGCUGAGGCACGAAAGCGUGGGUAUCGAACAGGAUUAGAUACCCUGGUAGUC